GUGAACGCUGGCGGUAGGCCUAACCCCUGCCAGUCGAACGGCAGCACAGUAAGAGCUUGCUCUUACGGGUGGCGAGUGGCGGACGGGUGAGGAAUACAUCGGAAUCUACUUUUUCGUGGGGGAUAACGUAGGGAAACUUACGCUAAUACCGCAUACGACCUACGGGUGAAAGCAGGGGAUCUUCGGACCUUGCGCGAUUGAAUGAGCCGAUGUCGGAUUAGCUAGUUGGCGGGGUAAAGGCCCACCAAGGCGACGAUCCGUAGCUGGUCUGAGAGGAUGAUCAGCCACACUGGAACUGAGACACGGUCCAGACUCCUACGGGAGGCAGCAGUGGGGAAUAUUGGACAAUGGGCGCAAGCCUGAUCCAGCCAUACCGCGUGGGUGAAGAAGGCCUUCGGGUUGUAAAGCCCUUUUGUUGGGAAAGAAAGGCAGCAGGUUAAUACCCCGCUGUUCUGACGGUACCCAAAGAAUAAGCACCGGCUAACUUCGUG
RNAcentral lists this ribosomal RNA (491 nucleotides) under uncultured bacterium. Its description in RNAcentral is "partial 16S ribosomal RNA". It matches the Rfam family "Bacterial small subunit ribosomal RNA", at positions 29 to 507 of the family's 1533-position model. The record is from RNAcentral.